This 253-nucleotide ribosomal RNA is filed under the name uncultured bacterium. RNAcentral's name for it is "partial 16S ribosomal RNA". It matches the Rfam family "Bacterial small subunit ribosomal RNA", at positions 524 to 776 of the family's 1533-position model. The record is from RNAcentral.
UACGUAGGGUGCAAGCGUUAAUCGGAAUUACUGGUCGUAAAGCGUGCGCAGGCGGCGAUGUAAGACAGAUGUGAAAUCCCCGGGCUCAACCUGGGAACUGCAUUUGUGACUGCAUCGCUGGAGUACGGCAGAGGGGGAUGGAAUUCCGCGUGUAGCAGUGAAAUGCGUAGAUAUGCGGAGGAACACCGAUGGCGAAGGCAAUCCCCUGGGCCUGUACUGACGCUCAUGCACGAAAGCGUGGGGAGCAAACAGG